CAUAAUGUGACAUGGUAGUAAGCCAGCUCUAUUAUCAUACAUAAAUCACCAAGGAAAUUUCUGUGAUAUUAAAUAUGAAGUCUAAAUUUAUAUCUCAUUGUACCUGAAGAAACACGAAUUAGCACAUUCAUAUGUUCACCCAAAAUCUCCUUUCCAAUGUGCUGUCAUUUUCAGACUUUACAUGGAAUACAAUGGCAUACGCCCUUAGCAAAGUUGUCAGAUUGGUUGUGGCUUCCAGCAUGUUUACAUAAUUUGUGGUUACAUCAAAAGAGAGAAGUGAAUGUCAUACUUGGGACUGAAAUGGCACACACUACAAAGACGAUCGCCAAUACUUUGUCAUGAAUGAGGUUUGGGCAUGCAAGCUUCCCGCUCCUCUCUUGCCCUCAUGCACCGCAAUUCCAACUUCCUUUUCUCAUCUGAGCAGGCCAUAAUCUGCCCUGAUAUCCAAAGUAGGAAAAUAUAGCAUGUCUCCAAAUUUUAAAUUGGAAACCAUGGUUCAGUUCUGGACAGAAGCAAAGGUUUAUGGAAACCAUGAUCCGAGGGAGCAAAUUAGCCCAUGGAGCAUGGAGAGAGCUCUGAAGCUCAUUUAUAAUUAUAAUCCAUUAUGUCUGAACCUGGAUUUGUAGAGUAUAAUGUCCCAAAGAGGUACUAGUGGCAAGUAGGCCCUGUUAUUCAGGAUCCAUAAGCAAGCUGAGCAUACCAUAUACUGUACUUGUACUUGACGUUUAGGUAAAACACAUAUAUCUGUGUAGGGAUGUCCUGCAACUUUCAUUUGCUAUGAUAGGUUAUUUCUCUCUCACUCCUUGCCCUACAUUGUGGCAUCAUAAACUGUGGGGGUUUUUUGCUAAGCAGAGUGGACAGCUCUUUACUCUUGAACAUGAUGGACCCAAUAUCUUAAUUAAUGUUGAGUGGGCUUGCACUCGAAACCAUUUGUCCUAAAGUCACACAGAAUGAGCAGGGAAAUCACACCUUCUUACAGAGAGUUGGGUCCAAAGGCAUUUUACCUGGCUUGUUGCUAAGAUACUUACAUACUAUGAAUCAGUUUUGUAUUCACUGUUUGGCUUGGGUUUUUAGGAGAUAGGUCAUUGUUGCUGCAAACUUGCUGCUGUACAGAUCUUUGUACUGUUGUACACUGGCAAAUUGCUAGUCCUCCCUGCUGUAAGGAAACAGGCUCUUUAAUGAGUGCCUGGAUCUAUGUUCCCACCACAGGUAAGAGGAUGUGCCACACUAUACUGCUUUAAAUGUAUUGUGGCUGGGAAUCAUAGCAAAUGCUGCAAAAUAACUUAAAUUACCUCACUAUACCAUAUAUGGCAUGAUCCUCAUGCAGUGGGCCAAAGGAUAUGGACCUCUUCCCAAAUAUUCUUCCUGACAGGUGGCACAGCAUCUUCCCACCCUUGCAGUGUGAAUGAGUCUCACAUCAUCAUAAAUAGCAAAAGAUAGCAUUAAAAGGGGGAAGGGAAACAAUUUGGUAGGUUAUUUAUUUGAACAGCCUGCUCUGAUACUUACAAACUAAACAUAGGUUUAAUGAAUGCAGUCCCAAUUGGCAGAGUAAAUGUUUUGUUGAAUAGCUACCAGAAAGACUGUGAACCUUGGAUACAGAACCGUGUAUGUGCAAACAGUGAGUCUGAGGACUUUCAAAGUUCAUUUGCUCUCAUCCUUUGCCAAGUCUUUUUCCUUUCCUAACAACUUCAAAUCUAAGGUAAUGAUUACUGUGUCCCAAGGGUUGUACAGAAUUUCACCCACUAAAGGAGUGCUAUCUUGGUACGCCUGCAAGCAAAGUUAAAAUCAAGAGGGGGAAAACUGUGGCCCUGCAGAUGUUGUCAGUAUCCAGGCCCCAUCAAUUCUAACCUGAUAGCCAACUGUCCAGGGAUGCUGGGAGUUGUAGUUCAACAACACCCGGAGGGCCACAAGUUCCCCAUCCCUGGUUUAAAUGGCAAGGCGUGACCUUUAUAAUUCCUGGCUAAACAUCCUUUUAGGUUGCUUCUCUGGGUUAAACCACAGAGCCUAGGACUUGCCGAUCAGAAGGUCGGCGGUUCGAAUCCCCACGACGGGGUGAGCUCCCGUUGCUCAGUCCCUGCUCCUGCCAACCUAGCAGUUCGAAAACACGUCAAAGUGCAAGUAGUUAAAUAGGUACCACUCCAGCGGGAAGGUAAACGGCGUUUCCGUGCGCUGCUCUGGUUCGCCAGAAGCGGCUUAGUCAUGCUGGCCACAUGACCUGGAAGCUGAACGCUGGCUCCUUCGGCCAAUAAAGCGAGAUGAGCGCCGCAACCCCAGAGUCAGCCAUGACUGGACCUAAUGGUCAGGGGUCCCUUUACCUUUGAGCAUUCAUACAUCUCAUAAAUUGUUCUUCUUGCUUUAUAUUUAUAUGAAACACUUAAACUGCAUUGCUGCUAAUUCUGGUGUCAGGCAUUGUCCUGCGCAGGGGCCCCUUACUGAGAGCCCCCUAGCCCUACUGUUUCCCCUUAAUGUUGCUGCUGUCUCCAAACAAGUGAGCAGUGGUGACAAGAACAAGGAGGAAAAGAAGCAGUCUUUUCUUGCUUUUCUCCUCUGGGGCAGUGCUGUGUAUUAGCUCUUCAUAUAAAAAACCAACCAGAACACAAUCUUAACAUGGUUGAAAACCUUCUCUAGAGAGGAGAGGAGGUGUUUCCUGUGACUACACUGGUUGCAUCCAAACAAUACUGUGCACAGCCCACUUCUGCUGCAAACUUGCAGAACUGUUUUCCUCCAAGCUCAGCCCUGGAAAGAAAAAAUGUGCUUUUGAACCAGAUGUGGUGAGUGCAGCUUCACAACUCAAAUUAUGUACAUUUGUACUCACUAGUAUACACUCACAACCAGAGCCUUGCUUCACAGGAAGUCGCCUUAUAAGCGGGUCACUAUUGGUCCAUCUCAGUAUUAGCUGGCAGCUUUCCAAAAUCUUUCGACGGAAAGUGGUACUUCCCCUCAGAAAAUGCCAAGGUUUGAUCCUGUGACCUUCUUUCACAUCAAGGGUGGGCUCUGCCAUUAAGCUACAGCCCCUCCUCUUUGUAAUGUCUCCAACUGUCCCCAGGAAAUGAUUAAUAGGUCCAGCCACACCUAUUCAGAAAUUAUUCCUGAGCUGAAAUAUAUGCUGCUGCAAUUGUAGAAGUCUCUGUGCUGCUAGUAUAUCUAUAGGGGGCUUGAAACAUACAUUAUUCCAGUCAGUGUUUCUCCAUCUGGGAGGCAUUGUACAAUGGUUUUGAUGGAAUGAGCAGACUCCAUAGUCUGCUUGUAAGAUGAUUUUCUCCCGAAUUCUGCACCACUCGCGUUUGUUGUUGUUUAUGAGUCAUUGUGUCCAAUAACCUAUUUACUCUUCUGCUGGUCUAAACCCUGAGCAUCCUUUGGUUUCUGCUGUUUGUUUUUGUGGGCUGGCUGGAGGGCUUUGAGACUCAAGAUGCGGUACCCUACAAAAUAGGUUUUUAUUUAUGUUAAAUCUUGUUACAAAGCUGCUACCAUAUAUCAAGAGAACCAAUCUUGUGGACUGCAGUGCAGCCUCAAUCUGUUAUUCUGGUUGCAGAUUAUGCUGCCUUCCUCAGGGUUUUAUUUACUCUCUGGUGAAUUUGGAGACCUGGCAAAUUUUGCUGUGGUUAAGACUUACCUGAGCCUCCGUUUUUCAUGCUUACUUAUUUGCCAGCAAAAUGUAUUCUUUGGAAUAUUUGCCUGGAUGUUUAAACUGCACUUCCUCGCUUGCUACUUUUUGCCUUUUUAAGAAUAUAAAAAUCCAUGGGCCUUUGCACUGUAUAUCCAAAUACAGAUUUGUAGUUCAUACCCCAAUUUCUUGCAAACUGUUCUUUGUGCUUGGACUUUCUCCUUCAGGCCUUAGAGGUGCAUUACACUGAAGCCAGCUGUGCACUCACAACCUCCAUUGAUUUCAUUAAUUGUCCUUUUCACCUCUUUAACAAGUUAUGAUUAGAUUCCCUUGAAUUCCAUUUGGUGUGUUAAGCAUUAUCGGUGAUUUAUCAAUGGUUCUCAAAAUGUUUGUUCUUAAAGAAAGGCAGUAGGUCUUUCAGUGCCAUCCUUACCCUUUGCUCUCCCCACCCCCUUUGUUUUCCCUUGUUUGAAAACAUGGGCUCUGGGAUCACAUCAGAUCUCUGACUUUUUCUCAUCUGACUGUAGCCUACUGACUUGGGAGUUUACUGCUGGCUUCCCCCUCUGUCUCUAGAUUUAAUGGGGUUGGCAACUGGUUAUAUGUUUCAGUCUCUUGUUUUCAGUGCCCCCUUGUCAUUGCUGAUGACUCAUCAAGCUGGUGCGUCUGAGUUUAAUUGAAGCAGUAACAAUGCAAUCAACAUGUCUCUCUAUUUUUAUCUAGAUCUCCUCCUCCUCCCCCAACUGAUUUUCCUGCUGUAUGACUCACACUUUCUGGGCCUUACAUCUUGGCUCCUUUUUAAGGAUUAGAAAGGGGGGAAGGGGAUCACAAAUGUAACACAGCCCCCUCCCAAAGGAUGAGAGUUGUUCUAACCAUCCAUUUAAUAACAAUCUGUUUCUAACAUUUUGCUCUUUGCUGUUACCUGUUUUCCUAAAAUCUGGGUUAGGGUCCUGUUUUAUUUGGCUGUUGAACCAUGGACUUAGUAGGUGGCUGCCACUGUCAACUUCAAUUCCUCACCAAUAAAACAAGAAUACUUGAACCUUUUCAUAAGAACAAUGAAUAGGAAAAGUAUGAUUCAUAAAUGAUUACUAAUAUUUACAGUAUUGAAAAUAUUGCAAAUGUCUGACCUGUUGGGUUUUCUUUCCCCAGCUAUUGCCUUAAAACACAGUGCUAGCUGCUAAAUAUGGUUACCAGCAUUAAGGAAUUUAAACUUUUCAAGCCUUGAAGACCAACAGCAAGAAGCCAUGACUGUAUAGAGCAUUUUGUUGUCAUACAUGCUGUUGAUUGUGGAACGAAUUAACCUUCCCGUUAAGGUUUAGUACCUGUGGUCCUGGGAGGUUCGUGAUUUGAUUACCCUGAUCUUUUGGCAUUAUGAAAGAGAGAUCAUAAUUCUGCUUUGAUGGCAGUCAGUGUGAUCUACUGAAUUAGUUGUGAAUAUGAACCUUUCUUAGCUAUACUGUAUAGACCUUCGACAAGGCAUUAUCCCAUAGCUACCAUUCCCUAUCUGUAACCUUUUUUUGUGGGGGCGGCUAGAGAUCAUCACCUACUCACAUAGCUUAUUGCAAUAAUACAGAAUACAGUUUCUAUUUUAAGUGAUUAUGAAGUGGUUCUGAAUUCUGGAUGAAUUCAGAAUUCAUAGAAUAAUUUGGGCAGUACUCUACAACAAGGAACCACCAUUCUAAUUGGCUCCUUGAAAUGCAAUUGUGUUUGUACAUAACGUAUUUUCUAAGCAGGCCUGAUCUGUGUCUAGAUGAGAGACAGCCUGGGAACCAUUAUGGCUAUGCUGUGCCUGCACAGUUGGAAGCAGUAUAUGGGGGACAUGUUGUACCAU
This 5432-nucleotide long non-coding RNA is filed under the name Podarcis lilfordi (Lilford's wall lizard). Lineage: Eukaryota; Metazoa; Chordata; Lepidosauria; Squamata; Lacertidae. The record is from RNAcentral.